RNAcentral lists this ribosomal RNA (464 nucleotides) under Vreelandella stevensii. Its description in RNAcentral is "partial 16S ribosomal RNA". It matches the Rfam family "Bacterial small subunit ribosomal RNA", at positions 338 to 795 of the family's 1533-position model. Lineage: Bacteria; Pseudomonadati; Pseudomonadota; Gammaproteobacteria; Oceanospirillales; Halomonadaceae. The record is from RNAcentral.
CCUACGGGAGGCAGCAGUGGGGAAUAUUGGACAAUGGGGGCAACCCUGAUCCAGCCAUGCCGCGUGUGUGAAGAGGCCCUCGGGUUGUAAAGCACUUUCAGUGAGGAAGAACGCCUGGUGGUUAAUACCCAUCAGGAAAGACAUCACUCACAGAAGAAGCACCGGCUAACUCCGUGCCAGCAGCCGCGGUAAUACGGAGGGUGCGAGCGUUAAUCGGAAUUACUGGGCGUAAAGCGCGCGUAGGUGGCUUGAUAAGCCGGUUGUGAAAGCCCCGGGCUCAACCUGGGAACGGCAUCCGGAACUGUCAAGCUAGAGUGCAGGAGAGGAAGGUAGAAUUCCCGGUGUAGCGGUGAAAUGCGUAGAGAUCGGGAGGAAUACCAGUGGCGAAGGCGGCCUUCUGGACUGACACUGACACUGAGGUGCGAAAGCGUGGGUAGCAAACAGGAUUAGAUACCCUUGUAGUC